This 253-nucleotide ribosomal RNA is filed under the name uncultured bacterium. Its description in RNAcentral is "partial 16S ribosomal RNA". It matches the Rfam family "Bacterial small subunit ribosomal RNA", at positions 524 to 776 of the family's 1533-position model. The record is from RNAcentral.
UACAGAGGGUGCGAGCGUUAAUCGGAAUUACUGGGCGUAAAGCGCGCGUAGGCGGCUUUGCAAGUCGGGUGUGAAAUCCCCAGGCUUAACCUGGGAACUGCAUUCGAGACUGCAUUGCUAGAGUAUGGGAGAGGGAAGUGGAAUUUCCGGUGUAGCGGUGAAAUGCGUAGAUAUCAGGAGGAACACCAGCGGCGAAGGCGGCGCUCUGGGCCGGUACUGACACUGAGGAGCGAAAGCGUGGGUAGCAAACAGG